RNAcentral lists this ribosomal RNA (230 nucleotides) under uncultured Alicycliphilus sp. Its description in RNAcentral is "partial 16S ribosomal RNA". It matches the Rfam family "Bacterial small subunit ribosomal RNA", at positions 553 to 774 of the family's 1533-position model. Lineage: Bacteria; Pseudomonadati; Pseudomonadota; Betaproteobacteria; Burkholderiales; Comamonadaceae. The record is from RNAcentral.
AGCUCAGCAUUGGGUGUAAAGCGUGCGCAGGCGGUUUUGUAAGACAGAGGUGAAAUCCCCGGGCUCAACCUGGGAACUGCCUUUGUGACUGCAAGGCUGGAGUGCGGCAGAGGGGGAUGGAAUUCCGCGUGUAGCAGUGAAAUGCGUAGAUAUGCGGAGGAACACCGAUGGCGAAGGCAAUCCCCUGGGCCUGCACUGACGCUCAUGCACGAAAGCGUGGGGAGCAAACA